This 497-nucleotide ribosomal RNA is filed under the name uncultured bacterium. RNAcentral describes it as "partial 16S ribosomal RNA". It matches the Rfam family "Bacterial small subunit ribosomal RNA", at positions 28 to 507 of the family's 1533-position model. The record is from RNAcentral.
GAUGAACGCUGGCGGCGUGCCUAAUACAUGCAAGUCGAGCGAACAGAUAAGGAGCUUGCUCCUUUGACGUUAGCGGCGGACGGGUGAGUAACACGUGGGUAACCUACCUAUAAGACUGGAAUAACUCCGGGAAACCGGGGCUAAUGCCGGAUAACAUGUUGAACCGCAUGGUUCUACAGUGAAAGGCGGCUUUGCUGUCACUUAUAGAUGGACCCGCGCCGUAUUAGCUAGUUGGUGAGGUAACGGCUCACCAAGGCAACGAUACUUAGCCGACCUGAGAGGGUGAUCGGCCCCACUGGAACUUAGACACGGUCCAGACUCCUACGGGAGGCCGCAGUAGGGAAUCUUCCGCAAUGGGCGAAAGCCUGACGGAGCAACGCCGCGUGAGUGAUGAAGGUCUUCGGAUCGUAAACCUCUGUUAUUAGGGAAGAACAAAUGCGUAAGUAACUGUGCGCGUCUUGACGGUACCUAAUCAGAAAGCCACGGCUAACUACGUG